This 250-nucleotide unclassified non-coding RNA is filed under the name plant metagenome. RNAcentral's name for it is "partial contains small subunit ribosomal RNA, internal transcribed spacer 1, and 5.8S ribosomal RNA". The record is from RNAcentral.
GUAGGUGAACCUGCGGAAGGAUCAUUAUCACGUAUCCACGUAUAAACCAAUGUUGAACUGUCAAUAACCUUUGGAGAUUAUUUUAAGGUAGUGUGUGUUUAGAUAUUUAGCGUUUUUUGAAGUGAUUAAACGUUGUCUAAAUAUACCAACAAUUUCGAUUGUGCUUUAAUUUCUCUAGAGUUGUAUUAAUCACUUUAUUAUUAACCAUUAUAACAACAUCAUUAUAACUUUUGAACUAAAUUAAUUUAUA